Molecule: long non-coding RNA, 2586 nt
Organism: Triticum aestivum (bread wheat)
Lineage: Eukaryota; Viridiplantae; Streptophyta; Magnoliopsida; Poales; Poaceae
Exons: 3
Source: RefSeq, a predicted model, not a curated record
AUAGAUAGAUGCUAAAAGAGCUUGUUUAUGGGCUGUCCAUGUUUUGGGCUUGUGUAUGGUGCCAUGUGCCAGCUAUUUUUUAUUUUAUUUUUGCGCCUCUUGACACACGCAAUGCCAGAUUAAACAGACAUGGAUACUUGAAUCACUGGCUUCAUUCAGUUCUCUUCUAUUUAGCUGUCUAACCAGUGUACUUGUGUGUGCUAACUUUUACACAACAUACAAGUUUCACCUUUUUGCAAUUAUAUAUGGUACGUGAGUUAUGCAGUAAUGUAAUGUGAGUAUUUCUUGUCUCACAUUUCUAUCAGAAUUUUAGCUAAUGUAUUUUUAGAUGGACCACUGUAUUGGUCAAUGGCAUGUUAGACUGGUUAAGUUGGAUGAUUUAAGCAUAUGCAUUUAUCUCAUUGUUUUCUAUUGCUGUUUUUUGUUUCACAAACAGUCCAACACUAUUAUAAUUAAUCUUCUAGUUCAAUGUGCUUUUUCUUCCUGCCAUGGUUUAUACUGAUAUACUCAUUGAGCAGGGAAACCCUCAAAUGACAAAGACCAGGAGGAUAGGAAGGGUGACAAUGAGAUGGCAGGCUCUGGAAAUGUUUCUGAUGUGGAUUUGCUGGGAAAAUGUUAGAUACUGCAAGAGUAAUAAUGGGAAAGUGCACAGGCAACACUGUGGAGAUAUCAAGAAUCCUUUCCGCUCUCACUGAAGUCUCCAUGGAAAAGAGAGAGAGGAAUUAAUUAAACAAGUCACUCAGUGAAAUGUUUAGCCAUCUUGGAGCAUUUACCUAUGUUGGGGCCGUGCUCUGCCCCUUUUGCUUGUUCAAGGGUGGCGCGGCGAAUGCGGAUGCAACGCCGACCAGAGUUGUUGGGGACAUUGAUAUUUAUCCAGGGAGGAGCCUUGGAUGAUUCUUGGACAUGCUGAUGCCUAGGUGAUCUCCCGGCAAGGAGCCACUGUGUGGCGCGCACAUGAGGGUUUGUGGGUACCCGAUAUCCGCGACACUGACAACCUAACUGCAUUCUGUUUGGGGUAUGAAACUGUCAAUCGUCUGUCAUACAGCAGUAGUAUUUGCAUCCUUCCGGAGGUGGGUCUCUGUGGUUUUAGGAGUACUAAAUUUUUAGUUAGAUACGUGCUGGUAUCUUGUAGAUUUGGCUGGUCUUCCUGUUGCUUACCCCCCUUAAUUCAGUCCCAGGACUCCCUGCACCGGCUUGAUCUUGGAGCUGCCUCCAUUAUGUAAAUUGUGUAUACAGAACAGUAAAAGUGCAAGGAGGCUCGGAAAUUCCACUUGAAAAGAUGAGAUAAAGAUCAUUACCGACAUGAUACUACCUUUUCGAAAAAAAAAAUAUUGAGCAGAUACUAUUCAUGUUACCGACAUGAUAUCCCGCAUGAAUCUAAUGAUUUAUGAAGAAGGUGCCGAUUUUUCCUUUGAUUCAUCUUGCAGACCUGGAGCAAGCAAUCUCAACCCCAAAGCUAUGCCACAGGCGAGAUCAUGAAUUAUUUUGACUCAGCUUACUGAUUUCCUGACCAUCAUUCAUAUGUAGUAGGUCAUAGCAGCUAGAUAAAUGUUCUAAAAUUGGCAGGAUAUGCCUGGAACAUCAUGUCAAGGUGUUCCCUGUUCCCUUGGCACUCACCUAUGUACAAGUGCUGUAGCUAGAUAAAAAGUUGCCGACGUUCAGCAUUCGCCAUGAUUAGAACGGUAUCUUAUUGCCUGGUAAUUUUAGCACUACCAUUCAGAUAGUUGCUUUCAUCUGUCAUCCGAGGGAUCAUCACUGGCUCGAAAGGCGGUGAUACUGUUCAUUUUUUCCAAGGAGUCAGUUGUCUUGGGAGCACCACAGACCUGAUCCCAGGCGCCCAAAGGGGCAUGUGUAUGUCUCCAUCUUGUUAGAGGCCUUCCGUGGCUAUGAACCUCAAGACCCAUUAUUUGUUUCUACAGCAUCCGAGAUACUAGAAAUUCAGGACUCUAGUGACUAGAGUCUAGUCCAUUUUCUGAUCUCCAAACUCGGAGUGUUCAUUACGGAGCAAUGUCAGGAGCGAACUCCGUAGGAGGUUCGUUCUACGAUUCUACUCCGUAGGUGGUUCGUUCUACGAUUCUACGAAAAACCAAACUACUACUUGUGCUGGUUAGAGCAACUCCAAUGGGGCGACCCAUUUCGUCCGCCGCCAUCCGUUUGGAUCGGCGCAGACAUAAAAGGCGGCCCAAUGCGCCGACCCAAACGGACGCGCGUCCGCUUUUCGUCCGCGGGCGAUCCAUUCCUGCCCAUCUUUGAGCCGGAUUUGCAUCGGCGCGCACACGCGACGGACGCGCGCGCUCGCCUUAUCCUCUUCCCGGGCCCGCUGGUCGGUGGCACAUUAGCCUCCCCCUCACCCCCAGACAACAGCAACCCCUCGCCCGCCUCCUUCGUCGCCGACGCCGCCGCCCAUUUUUGCCGGCAACUCUGCCAGCUGCCGCCGCCUCCAUAUCCGCCCAGCAACGCCGCACACUCCCCCGUCGCCCGCCACCGUCGUCUUGCCGCCGGGGAGCAAACUGCUUCCCACCGCCGCUCCCCCACCGCACAGCCGCUCGCAACCAAGAAGCCGCCUCGCCGCCACGGCCAUAUCCG